CCACAUCAAUGGUCUUUCCAGUUAAAAUCGAAUAUAAUAAGACCAUUCUCUCUAACGAGAUUGUAGUCCCAUGCGACUAGGCAUAAGACUAAAACGAAUGAAAUAGAACCAUACCUUUGCAAGUGGUGUCAAAUAUUCUCUUUGACAAGUGUGGAUUCCUUGCUUUGACACAAUCUACUUAGAACCUAGAACUGUAAGUUCCUCAAGAAAUUCUUUCAAAUUUUCAGGCUCGAUGUUGC
This 239-nucleotide long non-coding RNA is filed under the name Gossypium barbadense (sea-island cotton). RNAcentral's name for it is "long non-coding RNA (GBAR_LNC006428)". Lineage: Eukaryota; Viridiplantae; Streptophyta; Magnoliopsida; Malvales; Malvaceae. The record is from RNAcentral.